Molecule: ribosomal RNA, 1275 nt
Filed under: uncultured bacterium
Lineage: Bacteria
Description: bacterial SSU rRNA
Rfam family: Bacterial small subunit ribosomal RNA
Source: RNAcentral
GGUGAGUACAACAUAGGAAAUCUGCCUUAGGGUGGGGGACAACAGAGGGAAACUUCUGCUAAUACCCCAUAUGAGCUUAGUUGAAAUACUAAUCUUGAAAGUUCCGGCGCCCUAAGAUGAGCCUGUGCCUGAUUAGCUAGUUGGUAGUGUAAUGGACUACCAAGGCGACGAUCAGUAGCUGGUUUGAGAGGAUGAUCAGCCACAAUGGGACUGAGACACGGCCCAUACACCUACGGGAGGCAGCAGUAGGGAAUUUUGCGCAAUGGGCGAAAGCCUGACGCAGCAACACCGCGUGAAUGUUAAGCCCUUCGGGGUGUAAAGUUCUGUCAAUAGGGACGAAUUUUGACUGUACCUAUAAAGGAAGCACCGGCUAACUCCGUGCCAGCAGCCGCGGUAAUACGGGGGGUGCAAGCGUUGUCCGGAAUCAUUGGGCGUAAAGCGUUCGUAGGCGGUAUGUCAAGUCUGGUGUCAAAGCCCGGGGCUCAACUCCGGUUCGGCAUUGGAUACUGGCAAACUAGAAUGUGGUAGAGGUAAAGGGAAUUCCUGGUGUAGCGGUGAAAUGCGUAGAUAUCAGGAGGAACAUCGGUGGCGAAAGCGCUUUACUGGACCAUUAUUGACGCUGAGGAACGAAAGCCAGGGGAGCAAAUGGGAUUAGAUACCCCAGUAGUCCUGGCCGUAAACGAUGGAUACUAGGUGUUGCGGGUAUCGACCCCUGCAGUGCCGAAGCUAACGCGAUAAGUAUCCCGCCUGGGGAGUACGCACGCAAGUGUGAAACUUAAAGGAAUUGACGGGGACCCGCACAAGCGGUGGAACAUGUGGUUUAAUUCGAAGCGACGCGAAGAACCUUACCAGGGCUUGACAUCUAGAGAAUUCUGAUGAAAGUCGGAAGUGCCCUUCGGGGAGUUCUAAGACAGGUGGUGCACGGUUGUCGUCAGCUCGUGUCGUGAGAUGUUGGGUUAAGUCCCGCAACGAGCGCAACCCCUGCUUACAGUAGCCAGCAGCAAGGCUGGGCACUCUGUAAGGACUGCCGGGGAUAACCCGGAGGAAGGCGGGGACGACGUCAAAUCAUCAUGCCCCUUAUGGGCUGGGCUACACACGUGCUACAAUGGCGCCAACAGAGUGAGGCAAACCUGCGAGGGGGAGCAAAGCACAAAAAAGGCGUCCCAGUUCGGAUUACAGCCUGCAACCCGGCUGUAUGAAGCUGGAAUCGCUAGUAAUCGCAGAUCAGAAUGCUGCGGUGAACACCUUCCAGGGUCUUGCACUCCCCCCCCCUCA